This 376-nucleotide ribosomal RNA is filed under the name Fusarium verticillioides. RNAcentral describes it as "partial 28S ribosomal RNA". The stretch from base 199 to 346 matches the Rfam family "5.8S ribosomal RNA". Lineage: Eukaryota; Fungi; Ascomycota; Sordariomycetes; Hypocreales; Nectriaceae. The record is from RNAcentral.
UGACCUCGGAUCAGGUAGGAAUACCCGCUGAACUUAAGCAUAUCAAUAAGCGGGAGGAAAAUUAUAUCAACUUUACACUCCUAAACCUGUGAAAAUCCAAUGAAUGCCUCGGCGGAUCGCCGCCUCGGGUAAACGGGACGGCGCACAGGACCCAACUCUGUUUUAUAUGUAACUUCGGAGGAAAACCAUAAAUAAACAAAACUUUCACAACGGAUCUUUGGUUUCUGGCAUCGAUGAAAACGCAGCAAAUGCCAUUAGUAAUGUGAAUGCAGAAUUCGUGAAAUCGUCGAAUCUUUGAACGCCAUUGCGCCCGCCAUAUUCUGGGGGCAGUCUGUUCAGAGCGCUAUUUACCUCUGCCUACGGGGUGGAGACCCAG